This is a long non-coding RNA of Delphinapterus leucas (beluga whale), 6710 nucleotides long. RefSeq lists it as uncharacterized. Lineage: Eukaryota; Metazoa; Chordata; Mammalia; Artiodactyla; Monodontidae. The record is from RefSeq and is a predicted model, not a curated record.
GGGGCGGGGCGCGGCGUCUUCGCGCGCCCCGCGCCCUAACCUGGGAUUCCCCCGCGGGUGGGCGGCGCCUGCCGACGCGCUGGUGGUCGUCCCGCCUGCGUGCGGCCAUCCCUCGGGCAGUGGGAGCCCGCCUGCAUCCUCGGGUCCCCGCAGACCCCCGCGCGGGCCCGACUGGCGCGGCCGCCGGACUGUCCACCCGACCGCAGGCCCCGGCGAGCGGACCCCGGCGAGCGGACCCCGCGCUCGCGGCCAGUUUGCCUCCCCCAAAAUGAGAAGAUUGGGGAGGGACUUCAAGGGCCGGAAGCCUGAAUCUGCCUGUGCCCCUGGCGGUAGGACGAGCACCUGGCCGGCGGGCCUGUCUCCGCGGCUACUUCCGGAGCUACUCUCCCCGAGAUGGCAGAAACUAGCACCGGGUCCCACCGCGCUCACCUCACAGGCUCCCUCUUGGCGCCCAAAACCAAGCAGAAGCCACAGUCUAUAGAGAUCCAGUAACCUGUGACAUGAGAGAGAUUACUCAGCUAUAAAAUGGAACGAAGUUGGGCCGUUUGCAGAGACGUGGCUGGACCUAGAGACUGUCAUGCAGAGUGAAAAGCUCCUGUUUUCAGGAGAUGAUAACUGUCAACACACAAACUAGUUUAAAGUAGCCUGAAGAGCAAGGGACAGAAGAGAAAGGAGGGCUACCAUCUCAGCUGUUAAGAUUUCUUCAAGAUCAGAGAGGCCCAGGGACAGACCCUUGCCUGCAACCACAACGGCCAGCUGAACCUGCAUGAUAGCUGCUGCAUCAAUGACACCAGAACUUAGAGAAGGAGACAGGUCCCUCGGCAGCCUGCCUCCAACCUAAAGGAUGUCUUACUGACCUCCAAACGAGACACUGACCGUUACCUGCCAGAAAGUUGUCGAACAUAUACAUACAAAUCAUCUGCCUUUGCAGUCAACAAUUAUAAUAAAAAAUGAAAAAAACUCAAAAUAAUCAACGAUCCGUUCAAUAUGAAUGGUGCCUCUACCUUGGGUGGGACGACGCUGACCCUUAGAUUCAGGUGUACUAUUAAUGUAUAUAUGCUUAAUUUUUCUGUUUACUCAAAGAAAUCUAUAACUCUACUCGGGCGGCUACAAUACUGAUUAGAUGUGACAUUUAUCUGAAUUUUAAGAUAUGUGAAUGUCUUCCCAUGUAAAUAUAUAAGAACCCUGAACUUGGUUUGUAUGUAUUCCAUAUAUUUUCUACCUUUUGGAGCCACAGUUCUUUUAGGUGAUAAACUAAUAAGGAUAUAAUCUUGGAUCUUUUUCAUGACUUGGUCUGAAUUCUGAUCACAACUGGUAAGGCCAUUCUACUAAAAGGUAUUAUUUGCAGAUUCCUUCAGCUUUUUAAUUAGGUACUGUUCUAAAUUCAGCUGCUGUUCCCCAAGGGUUUCCUAUUCUAGAUUUAAGGAAAUGACAGGAAAAUUUUAGGAAAAAACUUGAGGGCAGGAAGUCCCUGCCACGUAAAGAGAACAUGUAAGUGUCUCUUUUCUUUAACAACUGACAUUUCAAUUACAGUGCCAUGGAAUAAGCAGUUCAUGUACUUACACAUUAAUCAUUUACAUAUUUAUUAGUAGAAAUACCUCACGAAAACACAACCUAAUCAAAUAGGCUCUAAAGAAAAAAAAAAUCUUAAUGUAUUUUUCUUAUUCCCCAUAUUCCUGUGUGUUCUGUGCACCCGUGUUCUGUUGGUUUGUCUUUGUCUCCCCAUCAAAACUGUACAUUUCUUCAGGUCACAAAAAAGGAAAGGAAAGAGGAAAAGUAUAUGCUAGGUGCUUUGUUAUUCUGUGAAUGAGAUGUAAUACAGUCAACACAAGCUUAGUUGGUGAGUAAAAUACGUUUGAGGAGUACAGACAGAAUCUUAGAAUUAAAGGAGGGUAAUGUCUCCAUAGGACGUUUUCAUCAACAUAGGGUUCUCUGGUGAAUACCCCUCAUCUUCUUUAAGGUCUCCUAACACAUUUACAUUCCCCAAUAUGUUUUCAAAUCUGUUAUUUAAUUCACAUUACAUACAUUACCUACAUGCAUCUGGGAGGCACUUUAAUGACUGUUACUUUACCUGUAAUGGCUACUGCAAAGAUCAGAUAAAAUAAGUAUGAACAUUUACUCUAAAUUCUAAGACCUUAAAGUGCUGUUAGUCUCAUAUUUAUAUAUAAGGAAUAAUUCGCUUCAAUCAAAUAAAAUGGCUAUCCUUAAUUUGUCCUUUUCCUAACCUUGCUCAAUUAUUUCCUGCCUUAUAUAUGAGGUUUGCCAUACAUUUAGGCCUAUUAAUCCUUUGAGCAUCAAUUAAACAUGUAACUCCUAUUUAGACUAUAAACUCCUUAAGGACAGGAAACACAAGAACUUCAAUUCCUUCUGUGUCUGUACUUCCUUCUACUUCCUCUCACCAUUGGCCAGUUUUUUACAGAGUGGGUAUUUGUGGCAGCAUUAUUAAAUAUCCUUAAUGAAGGCAUGGUACAAGUACGGAACCAGCUAAUCAUUCUCCCUAAAGUGCGUCAAUAAAAUCAUUAGGGGGCCAUUAGAGAGGAAGAGGAAAAUACCAUGAUUACCAGGAUCACGAUGCUGUCUCUAACAAGCCAUAGCAACCACUGAAGAGGUAGCCCUAAAAAGCAGCAGCUACAUUCCACAUGCUUACUAACAACCCUUAUUCCAAAGACUCAAGGUCCUCUGAAUGUCUACAAUCACUCUACAAAUGUUUCAGUCUUUAAACCAUUAUUAUUUUCAUAAUUUAAAUCUGAAUAAGGUAGCCUGAAGCAUGUACAAUUAGAAAAUACGUGGAAAACAAACCACUUCUAAGUGGUCUUACUGUGCUGCAGCACAGCUAUUAUACAGCGUAUAUGUGAAUUACUUCUCAAAUGAGGGAAUUCUGCAAAGAAUUAAAAACCUGUAAGACUUUUCAAACUACCGUUCUAGUGAUUUCUGACAUGCUUGAUAUUAUUGUUGGUGGUGAUGACAAUAGGAUUUACUGACUACUUACCAUGUGUCAGAAAGUGCGCUAACUAUAAUUAUAUAAAGCAGAUAUCAUCUUUAUUUUCCAGAUGAGCAGACUGAGGCUUAACUGAGGUUAGAUGUCUGGCCAAAGCUAAGUGGAAGGUUUUUCCAGUUCACUGUACAGCCUGGGUUUGGUUAUCAGACCUAGCACUUAAUAGCUGUGACAUCCCAGACAUAUUACUUGACUGUUCUGGGAGCUAAGUGUCUUAGUUGUAACAUCACUACUAUCAACAUCUGUUUCAUACUGCAGAGUCUGAAAAAUGUUUUGAUUUCUAUUAAGUUACUGGAUAUUCACACCACCCUCAUUUUCUCAUUCUGCAGAUGACUUACCCAAGGUCACAUGCCCGGUGGCUAGAUCAGGGCUCACAUACAGACAAUACCCUAACUACUCACAAUCUAUUCUGAAGCUCAAAUGAGACAGUGUGUGAAUGUAUUUUGUAAACUCUACAUCCUUUUGUAAAAAUGUAAACUAGCAUAUUAUUAUCCAUGUUCCCUGAUUAGGGAGGUACUGAUUGUAUUCAAUGAUCUCGAAAGUUAUAUCUAGAUGUAAAACUGCAAGUUAGAAGAGUUUUUUUCUUUUGCUUUAAAAAAAAAUAGAUUCCCACCAUCUAAAGACUAUUAACAUUUUUCUUUACACAGUAUGAUCACGCUCAAUAGAAUAUAAAUUUUUUCUUUUCCUCAAGAUAAUGUUAAGAAUCUCUCCAUGGUAUUAAUCAUGCAUUCAGCCAAAAAAAAAAAAAUAGCACCUACUAUGGACACACUGGGUAUGUAAGCAAGCAAACAAACAAAAGAUAACCUGUAAGAAAGUGCUAUAAAGGAAACAAGGCUCUAGAAUAGGGAGCUUUAGGAAGGUUUCAUUGAAGCGCUCUCUGAGGAGAUGAUACUUAAACUGAGACCUAAACUAGCAGCCAGAAACACAAAGAAUAGAGGCAGUAGGACACUGCAGGCAGUGGGAACAGCGUUUAUGAAGACUUCAAGGAAGAAAAGGAAAAACCUGCCCAUUUCAGGAAAGAGAACACGAAUGCUAAGGGCAGCCUAGCAGCCGAGGAAGGCUGGUACAGAUGAGGCUGAAGGGCACACGGGCCAGAUCCCACAUAAGCCGGGAGGCGUCUGAGUAGUGCUCAGAAUGUACUGCGAAACCAUUUAAAAGUUUUAAACAGGGAGGCACAUGAUCCAAAUUCCACUGCAGAUCACCUUGGCUGUUGUAUGGAUAAAGUAGCUAGUAAGAUAAGAAGAGAGCCCAGCCCGAGCCCUGAAGAAGGCUAACAUUCAGAAGGCAGAUCAGAGCUGGCAAAGGAAACUGAGAGGGAGGGGCUGAUGAGAGAGCAAGACAGCUCUGUGUGGGGUCAUGGGAACCAAAAGAAAGUGUUUAAAGGAAGACCAGAUGCUAUACUACUUUAAGUUCUGCUGAGAGGUCGAGUAAGAUGAAGACAGAGAAGCGUCUUCUGGAUUUGUAACCUAGAGAUCACUAAUGACCUAGAACAGUUUCAGUGGCGUGCAGUCUAUUCUGUGCACAACCUUUGUAAAUAUUUAAUGACUUCUUAUAUCCCACUGAGUGAAAACACAGCCAUUUUUCCUACAAAAGUGAGUUUUCUCCACAGGAAUUAGAUAUUUUAAAUUCAAUUAAAGAACAUGAUUUACCUUAUUUGAACCAAUAUUGUUUAUAAUACAAACUAUGACGAAGAACUAGCACUCUAUGUAGGAAAAAGCAGCUGCACACAGGACACACAGGGACGCAAAGCUACUCUGUUUGAAAGGCUGGCUACUAUGCUGGUGUUGUGUUUUUCUGCUCACCGUUAAGUUAUGAAUUUCCAGCCUCUACAAUAAAGGCCUGAAAGAGAUACUCAAAUCUCCAGCACCCAUGUAUGCAUGGGCCCUUGACAACUUCAGGUUAAUGGGGUACAGGUUAAAGUACCUGGGGAGGAAGGGCUCUUUCUCAAAUAAAGUGCUGCUCAGGAAAAGCCUUUUGUCCUUCCACCUUUUCACCACCUGGAACAUAAUGUGAUGUUUGGAAUUACAGUAAUCUUUAGACCACGGGAAGGAAAUCCACAGGCUAAGGAGAGUAGAGCGGAGUGACAGGAGGAGCCUGGUUCCUUGAGGGCAGUCUCAGGCCACUGUAUUAGCCCUAAAAAGCCACCUUCCAGAUUUCUUGCUGGAGGAGGCAUGUAAACCCCUCACUUGUUUUAAGCCAUAAUAGCUAAACACGAUGCUAGCAGAUACAUGAUAUAUUCAUUUCAUUCCUUCCUCAGUAAGAGUAUUUUUAAAAGAAGCAAUGUUUAGUACAAGAAGACAUCAGAACUAUAGCAAAUUCCACUGCAACUAGGAGUGGCAUGUGAUCUAGUUGUGAACAAUGAGGUACAAGGAAGACUGAUGGGGGCUCCUAGGAAAUGAAACCCUUUGCUGAUAAGAAGAAAGUGCUGAAGAAAAAUGGUAGCUGGGCUGUCCCUGCCAUGCCCUCCACACCACCGCUUGCCCUCUGCCCUUCCUGCCUUUUGAACUGGUUGUGAUAUCUGGAGCCACAUGCUAUCCUGAAGCCACAGGACAACAAGCACAAGGAUGAAAAGCCCAUCUCCAACAAUGGAAAAACCCUGGCUGCUUGAUGGCACUACCAACUGCUAAACCAGACUGCCUUUCUCCAGAUUUAAGAUAGUUAAGUGUCUUUAUUGAUAAAGUCAUUUAUUAUUUACUAUUUUUUUAAGUUUUUUUUCUUUUUUCCCCCCAGCAAAAAGCAUUCCUACCUUCUUUCAAAUAGCCAAGUGUAGCAUUUCCUCCUUUACUCUGGCUUUGCAUCUCCUUUCCAAGUUUCUUCUCCAGUAUAGGUUGAAAUUGUACUAAUGUCCUGUCCUUGGAAUGCUCUCCCUUCUAAAUCGUAUCAGUUCUUAAAGGGCCUAACUUAAUUCCUGUGUUCCUCAAGACCUGUUCCAAAGGAGCCACAGGGACCAUGUCCUGAUGCCCACAAUUCUCUCCAGUCAUUUACUGACAGUCACUCACCAUUCUCCACCCCCUUUACUUUAUUCCCCACAUAAACCCUCCCGUUCAAAUCAGCGCAGCAAUUAGCCAAUUCAAAAUUCAAUCUAAGAAUUUUCAGGCUGGGAAUGCAGAAUACCUUCACUGUGGCUCUUUUGCUACUCUUAACUGAAAGCCUAGUUGUAAACUCAUGGUUACGUUACUUUAAGUAUAUGCAACUUAUUUUCUCUUCUGGAUCAGUAAUUCUUAAGUAUAAAUCUGAAUGUAUCUGGGAAACUUUUCCAAAAUACAUACACCAAGAACCAUCCCAAACCUACUGACUCAUUUCCAAGGGCACAUGUUGAAGGUCCCAGGUGAGGCUGAUGUGUACCCCUGGGUAAGAUUUUUCUGCUGUAGGUAUUCUACAGCUGCACUGUUCAAUAAGGUAGCUGCUGGCCAUAUGUGGCUAUAGAAGACUUGAAAUUAAUUUAAAUUUAAAAUCUGAUGUGAGAUUCAGUUAUAGGAAAACUUUAUGUCUGGAAUGUGGGUGUGUGAAUUUACUUUUGAAAUGUAGAUUUUAUGAAAUUUAAAUACAGACGGUAUUUCCAAUGAAAAUUUAACAUCUGAAUUGAAAUGUUUUAUAAGUAGAUUACAAAGACUUGGUACGAAAAAAUGUAAGAUACUAUUAAUAAUUUUAUACUAGUUACAUGUUAAGAUGAUAAUAUUUUGGAUAUACUAAGUGAAAAUAUAUUUAAAUAAUU